ACUCCUACGGGAGGCAGCAGUGGGGAAUAUUGCACAAUGGGCGCAAGCCUGAUGCAGCAACGCCGCGUGAGCGAUGAAGGCCUUCGGUCGUAAAGCUCUGUCCUCAAGGAAGAAUAAAUGACGGUACUUGAGGAGGAAGCCCGGCUAACUACGUGCCAGCAGCCGCGGUAAUACGUAGGGGGCAAGCGUUAUCCGGAAUCACUGGGCGUAAAGGGGUGCGUAGGCGGUUUUUCAAGUCAGAAGUGAAAGGCUAUGGCUCAACCAUAGUAAGCUUUUGAAACUGUUAAACUUGAGUGCAGGAGAGGAAAGUGGAAUUCCUAGUGUAGAGGUGAAAUUCGUAGAUAUUAGGAGGAACACCAGUGGCGAAGGCGACUUUCUGGACUGUAACUGACGCUGAGGCACGAAAGCGUGGGGAGCGAACAGGAUUAGAUACCCUUGUAGCACAGAG
RNAcentral lists this ribosomal RNA (448 nucleotides) under uncultured bacterium. RNAcentral describes it as "bacterial SSU rRNA". It matches the Rfam family "Bacterial small subunit ribosomal RNA", at positions 335 to 799 of the family's 1533-position model. The record is from RNAcentral.